This 1695-nucleotide ribosomal RNA is filed under the name Triticum aestivum (bread wheat). RNAcentral's name for it is "partial small subunit ribosomal RNA". Lineage: Eukaryota; Viridiplantae; Streptophyta; Magnoliopsida; Poales; Poaceae. The record is from RNAcentral.
AUGGGGGAUGCGACCAUGGAGACCAUCGGCGCUUUCGGUAGCACGUUCAGCCACUGUGUCGAGCUGGCUCUGAGUCCCAAGGGAGUUCCCUACGAGCUCGCACUAGAAGACCUGGGCAACAAAAGUGAGUUGCUGCUGACCCACAACUCCGUCCACAAGAUGGUCGCCGUGCUCCUCCACGAUGGUCGGUCCAUCCGUGAGUCGCUCUUCAUCGUCGAGUAUGUGGACGAGGCCUUCCACGGGCCGCCACACCUGCCGGCCGACAUCCACAACCGCGCCACCUCCCGCUUCUGGGCUCACUUCAUCGAUCAAAAGGCCAAGGAGAAGGCGAUGGAUGCGACUCGGCUGGCGAAGCUCAGGCGCCAGCAUGACUGGGCCGUUCAGCGCCUCAAGGGCCUCAUCAUCGUCUCCUCCUCCUUCUCCUUGUCCGACUACCACGGCUUCUCGUUGGAAGAAUCAGACGAUGCUCCACCAGCCGCCGACGGCUACAGCUGCGCCGGCGACCGGGAUGGGAAAGGGACGGCUCGGAAGUGGAGUCCUCUACAAACUCCUUAUGAGCUGUUGCUGGAGCACAACCCCAUCCACAAGGUGUAUGUGCUUCCCCAUGGUAGAAAGGCCUUCUGCGAGUCUCUAGUCAACAUCAAGCACUUCGACGAGGCCUUCGACACGCACCCAUCCUGCCAACCGACCUCCAUGAGUGGAUCGACGCUCGCUUCUGCUCCAAGUUCUUCACGGAAAAGUGGCUAUGUUGUUGCUCUUGCUGAAGUUAUGGAUAUACGGGGAGGCGCAGAAGGAACUUGGAAGGAAGAAAGAACAGGGGAGCAGGCCGGGAAGUUAAUCGGCGCUUUCGGUAGCCCUGACUCUCAAGGGAGUUCCCUACGAGCCCAUCCUACAAGACUAGAGCAACAAGAGCGAGCUGCUGCUGCUGACUCACAGCCCCGUCUACCAGAUAGUCCCCGUCCUCCUCUCGGAGUCUCGGAGUCGCUCGUCAUCAUCGAGUACGUCGACGAAGCCUUGGACGGACCGCGCCACCGCCCACUUCUGGGCUCACUUUGCGCGGCCGUUCUGGAUGUCCUUCUGGCCGACGGCGGAUGGCGGCGAGGAGCAGAAGGAGGGAUCCGUGAAGGAGGCCAAGGGAAACCUACUGCUUCUCGAGGGGCAGCUGAAGGGGAAGUGCUUCUUCGGCGGCGACGCUAUGACCUCGUGGGGUUCGCCGCCGGCGUGUUGGCGCACUGGCCGAGCGCCUUCGUGGAGAUGUGCGGGGUGACGCUGGUGGCCGACGAGGACUUCCCCGGUCUCUGCCGCUGGGCGAAGGCGUACGUCCAGGAGGAGCACGUGAAGCGGUGCCUGCCGGACAGGGGCGCGCUGCCGCGCUGGUCGCCACGUUCUCCGCCUGCAGGGAGAUGUUCCGGUGCAUCAGAAGUGAUCCAUCUAUGCGGUCUCACUCUCAAGUCCUCGGUGCGAGAAAUAUGGUUCCGAGCUGUGGACUAUAUGUUCGACAUGCUGGCAAGCCUCCUUCUCCGCUUUGCUCCAUGCUCUGCUUUGCUGACGAUGCAACACAGUACACAUGUGUUUUGCUCUGCUUUGUACUCAAGGAUGGUGUCACUAUUUCUCCUUGCUCUGUUUUUCUUUAUCAGCUUCGCCGUCAAGAUUCUUUUUGUCAACUUGCUAUCAAGAAACUUUGAUGAUGGAUGA